Molecule: unclassified non-coding RNA, 301 nt
Filed under: Funneliformis mosseae
Lineage: Eukaryota; Fungi; Glomeromycota; Glomeromycetes; Glomerales; Glomeraceae
Description: partial contains 5.8S ribosomal RNA and internal transcribed spacer 2
Rfam family: 5.8S ribosomal RNA (bases 1-71)
Source: RNAcentral
GUGAAUCAUCAAAUUUUUGAACGCAAAUUGCACUCCCUGGUAUUCAGGGGAGUAUGCCUGUUUGAGGGCAGUUAGAAUAAAAAUCGAAGCAUCGCUCUUUUCUUUGAGGGUGAUCGCGUCGGAAUUGAGCCGUCUUUCAAAUGUCAAUUCAUGUCAAAGUGGCUUAAAAUUCAUCUAUUCGGUACGAUUAAAGCGUAUUUAAGAUCAAUUUUGAUCAAGAACGCGUGAUGACGUACCAUCUCAUGUAGUACGUUCGAUCUGGGUCACCAGGUUCAUUCGUAUACGAUACUCAAACUCUUGA